GCGAGUGGCGAACGGGUGAGUAAUGAAUCGGAACGUGCCCGGUAGUGGGGGAUAACCAGUCGAAAGACUGGCUAAUACCGCAUACGACCUACGGGUGAAAGCGGGGGACCGUAAGGCCUCGCGCUAUCGGAGCGGCCGAUUUCCGAUUAGCUAGUUGGUGAGGUAAAGGCUCACCAAGGCGAUGAUCGGUAGCUGGUCUGAGAGGACGGCCAUCCACACUGGGACUGAGACACGGCCCAGACUCCUACGGGAGGCAGCAGUGGGGAAUUUUGGACAAUGGGCGAAAGCCUGAUCCAGCCAUGCCGCGUGCGGGAAGAAAGCCUUCGGGUUGUAAACCGCUUUUGGCAGGAACGAAACGGCGC
This 362-nucleotide ribosomal RNA is filed under the name uncultured bacterium. RNAcentral describes it as "bacterial SSU rRNA". It matches the Rfam family "Bacterial small subunit ribosomal RNA", at positions 91 to 456 of the family's 1533-position model. The record is from RNAcentral.